AGCAGCCGCGGUAAUUCCAGCUCCAAUAGCGUAUAUUAAAGUUGUUGCAGUUAAAAAGCUCGUAGUUGAAUUUCGGGAUCAAGUCGUCGGUCGUGCCUCGGUACGCACUGGUGACAUUGGUUUCUCCCUUCUGAAGAACCUUGAUGUCAUUAAUUUGGUGUCUUGGGGAAUCAGGACUGUUACUUUGAAAAAAUUAGAGUGUUUAAAGCAGGCUCACGCUUGAAUACAUUAGCAUGGAAUAAUGAAAUAGGACGUUUGAUUCUAUUUUGUUGGUUUCUAGGAUCGACGUAAUGAUUAAUAGGGAUAGUUGGGGGCAUUAGUAUUCAAUUGUCAGAGGUGAAAUUCUUGGAUUUAUUGAAGACUAACUACUGCGAAAGCAUUUGCCAAGGAUGUUUUCAUUAAUCAAGAACGAAAGUUAGGGGAUCGAAGACGAUCAGAUACCGUCGUAGU
Molecule: ribosomal RNA, 450 nt
Filed under: uncultured Glomeromycotina
Lineage: Eukaryota; Fungi; Glomeromycota
Description: SSU rRNA
Rfam family: Eukaryotic small subunit ribosomal RNA
Source: RNAcentral